This 88-nucleotide transfer RNA is filed under the name Actinoplanes derwentensis. RNAcentral describes it as "tRNA-Gly". The record is from RNAcentral. Lineage: Bacteria; Bacillati; Actinomycetota; Actinomycetes; Micromonosporales; Micromonosporaceae.
CUUCCGUGCGGCGCGGCUUUCCGUGCGGCGCGGCUUUCCGUGCGGCGCGGCUUUGGCGUGAUCCGCGGUUCAGGCCCUGAUGGUGGUC